This 901-nucleotide ribosomal RNA is filed under the name uncultured bacterium. Its description in RNAcentral is "bacterial SSU rRNA". It matches the Rfam family "Bacterial small subunit ribosomal RNA", at positions 27 to 901 of the family's 1533-position model. The record is from RNAcentral.
GAACGAACGCUGGCGGCGUGCCUAACACAUGCAAGUCGAACGAGAAGUACGUAGCAAUACGUAUUGUAAAGUGGCGCACGGGUGAGUAACACGUGGGUAAUCUGCCCUUGAGUUUGGGAUAACCCCGCGAAAGCGGGGCUAAUACCGAAUAAGACCACGGGGACCAAAGUCUCUGAGGUAAAAGAUGGCCUCUAUUUAUAAGCUAUCACUUGAGGAUGAGCCCGCGGCCCAUUAGCUAGUUGGUAGGGUAACGGCCUACCAAGGCUAUGAUGGGUAGCUGGUCUGAGAGGACGAUCAGCCACACUGGAACUGAGACACGGUCCAGACUCCUACGGGAGGCAGCAGUGGGGAAUAUUGCGCAAUGGGCGAAAGCCUGACGCAGCAACGCCGCGUGGGGGAUGAAGGUUCUCGGAUUGUAAACCCCUUUCGACCGGAACGAAUUCCCUCCUGGUAAAUAAUCAGGAGGAUCGACGGUACCGGGAGAAGAAGCCACGGCUAACUCUGUGCCAGCAGCCGCGGUAAGACAGAGGUGGCGAGCGUUGUUCGGAUUUAUUGGGCGUAAAGCGUACGCAGGCGGUUUGGUAAGUCAGAGGUGAAAGCCCACAGCUUAACUGUGGCACUGCCUUUGAUACUGCCUUUCUUGAGUAGAGUAGGGGGAAGCGGAAUUCCGAGUGUAGAGGUGAAAUUCGUAGAUAUUCGGAGGAACACCGGUGGCGAAGGCGGCUUCCUGGACUCUAACUGACGCUCAUGUACGAAAGCGUGGGUAGCAAACAGGAUUAGAUACCCUGGUAGUCCACGCCCUAAACGAUGGGCACUAGGUGUGGGAGGUAUCGACCCCUUCCGUGCCGCAGCUAACGCAUUAAGUGCCCCGCCUGGGGAGUACGGCCGCAAGGUUGAAACU